Molecule: ribosomal RNA, 856 nt
Filed under: Colletotrichum cf. gloeosporioides AR4031
Lineage: Eukaryota; Fungi; Ascomycota; Sordariomycetes; Glomerellales; Glomerellaceae
Description: eukaryotic LSU rRNA
Rfam family: Eukaryotic large subunit ribosomal RNA
Source: RNAcentral
GGAGGAAAAGAACCAACAGGGAUUGCCCCAGUAACGGCGAGUGAAGCGGCAACAGCUCAAAUUUGAAAUCUGGCCCCAGGCCCGAGUUGUAAUUUGCAGAGGAUGCUUUUGGCGCGGUGCCUUCCGAGUUCCCUGGAACGGGACGCCAUAGAGGGUGAGAGCCCCGUACGGUUGGACACCAAGCCUUUGUAAAGCUCCUUCGACGAGUCGAGUAGUUUGGGAAUGCUGCUCAAAAUGGGAGGUAUAUUUCUUCUAAAGCUAAAUAUAGGCCAGAGACCGAUAGCGCACAAGUAGAGUGAUCGAAAGAUGAAAAGCACUUUGAAAAGAGGGUUAAACAGCACGUGAAAUUGUUAAAAGGGAAGCGCUUGUGACCAGACUUGCGUCCGGUGAAUCACCCAGCUCUCGCGGCUGGGGCACUUCGCCGGCACAGGCCAGCAUCAGCUUGCCGUCGGGGACAAAAGCUUCAGGAACGUAGCUCUCUUCGGGGAGUGUUAUAGCCUGUUGCAUAAUACCCUUCGGCGGGCUGAGGUACGCGCUCCGCAAGGAUGCUGGCGUAAUGGUCAUCAGCGACCCGUCUUGAAACACGGACCAAGGAGUCAACCUUAUGUGCGAGUGUUUGGGUGUUAAACCCCUACGCGUAAUGAAAGUGAACGCAGGUGAGAGCUUCGGCGCAUCAUCGACCGAUCCUGAUGUUCUCGGAUGGAUUUGAGUAAGAGCAUAUAGGGUUGGACCCGAAAGAAGGUGAACUAUGCGUGUGUAGGGUGAAGCCAGAGGAAACUCUGGUGGAGGCUCGCAGCGGUUCUGACGUGCAAAUCGAUCGUCAAACAUGCGCAUGGGGGCGAAAGACUAAUCGAAC